This 376-nucleotide ribosomal RNA is filed under the name uncultured bacterium. RNAcentral describes it as "bacterial SSU rRNA". It matches the Rfam family "Bacterial small subunit ribosomal RNA", at positions 27 to 399 of the family's 1533-position model. The record is from RNAcentral.
GGACGAACGCUGGCGGCGUGCUUAACACAUGCAAGUCGAGCGGUAAGGCCCUUUCGGGGGUACACGAGCGGCGAACGGGUGAGUAACACGUGGGUGACCUGCCCUCAGCUCUGGGAUAAGGCCUGGGAAACCGGGUCUAAUACCGGAUAUGACUCCAUGACGGCAUGUUGUGGGGUGGAAAGCCUUGUGCGGCUGAGGAUGGGCCCGCGGCCUAUCAGCUUGUUGGUGGGGUGAUGGCCUACCAAGGGGGCACGACGGGUAGCCGGCCUGAGAGGGCGACCGGGCCACACUGGGACUGAGACACGGCCCAGACUCCUACGGGAGGCAGCAGUGGGGAAUCUUGCGCAAUGGGCGAAAGCCUGACGCAGCGACGCCG